RNAcentral lists this ribosomal RNA (499 nucleotides) under uncultured bacterium. Its description in RNAcentral is "partial 16S ribosomal RNA". It matches the Rfam family "Bacterial small subunit ribosomal RNA", at positions 28 to 507 of the family's 1533-position model. The record is from RNAcentral.
GACGAACGCUGGCGGCGUGCUUAACACAUGCAAGUCGAACGGGCCUGUCUUCUUUUUUGGGGGUGGGUUGAGUGGCGAACGGGUGAGUAUCACGUGAGUAACCUGCCCUUCGGUCCUGGAUAACCGCUUGAAAGGGCGGCUAAUACGGGGUGGUCCGGUUGGUCCGCAUGGGCUGGUCGGGAUAGAUUCACUGUUUUUGGUGUUUCGGCGGGGGAUGGGCUCGCGGCCUAUCAGCUUGUUGGUGGGGUGAUGGCCUACCAAGGCGGUGACGGGUAGCCGGCCUGGGGGGGUGGGCGGCCACACUGGGACUGAGAUACGGCCCAGACUCCUGCGGGAGGCAGCAGUGGGGGGUAUUGCACAAUGGGCGGAAGCCUGAUGCAGCGACGUCGCGUGAGGGAUGGAGGCCUUCGGGUUGUGAACCUCUGUUUCCGGUGGUGAAGGCCCUGUCCGUGUGGUGGGGUUGACGGUAGCCGGGGAUGAAGCGCCGGCUAACUACGUG